CUACCGGGGUUUCUAAUCCUGUUUGAUCCCCACGCUUUCGUGCCUCAGCGUCAAUAUAUGUGUAGCCUGCUGCCUUCGCAAUAGGUGUUCUAUGUCAUAUCUAAGCAUUUCACCGCUACAUGACAUAUUCCGCAAACCUCCACAAUAUUCAAGAUAUAUAGUAUCAAUGGCAGUUUCGGAGUUAAGCUCCGAGAUUUCACCACUGACUUACAUACCCGCCUACGCACCCUUUAAACCCAGUGAAUCCGGAUAACGCUUGCACCCUCCGUAUUACCGCGGCUGCUGGCAC
This 289-nucleotide ribosomal RNA is filed under the name uncultured Chitinophagaceae bacterium. RNAcentral's name for it is "partial 16S ribosomal RNA". The record is from RNAcentral. Lineage: Bacteria; Pseudomonadati; Bacteroidota; Chitinophagia; Chitinophagales; Chitinophagaceae.